This 253-nucleotide ribosomal RNA is filed under the name uncultured bacterium. RNAcentral's name for it is "partial 16S ribosomal RNA". It matches the Rfam family "Bacterial small subunit ribosomal RNA", at positions 524 to 776 of the family's 1533-position model. The record is from RNAcentral.
UACGGAGGGGGCGAGCGUUAUUCGGAAUUAUUGGGCGUAAAGGGCAGGUAGGCGGCUUCGUGUGUCUUCUGUGAAAGCCCUCGGCUUAACCGAGGAAUUGCAGAGGAAACUGCGGAGCUUGAGUACGGGAGAGGAGAGUGGAAUUCCCAGUGUAGCGGUGAAAUGCGUAGAUAUUGGGAGGAACACCGGUGGCGAAGGCGGCUCUCUGGACCGUUACUGACGCUGAGCUGCGAAAGCUAGGGGAGCAAACGGG